UCUUAUGAGUUAGCGGCGGACGGGUGAGUAACACGUGGGUAACCUGCCCAUAAGACUGGGAUAACUCCGGGAAACCGGGGCUAAUACCGGAUAACAUUUUGAACCGCAUGGUUCGAAAUUGAAAGGCGGCUUCGGCUGUCACUUAUGGAUGGACCCGCGUCGCAUUAGCUAGUUGGUGAGGUAACGGCUCACCAAGGCAACGAUGCGUAGCCGACCUGAGAGGGUGAUCGGCCACACUGGGACUGAGACACGGCCCAGACUCCUACGGGAGGCAGCAGUAGGGAAUCUUCCGCAAUGGACGAAAGUCUGACGGAGCAACGCCGCGUGAGUGAUGAAGGCUUUCGGGUCGUAAAACUCUGUUGUUAGGGAAGAACAAGUGCUAGUUGAAUAAGCUGGCACCUUGACGGUACCUAACCAGAAAGCCACGGCUAACUACGUGCCAGCAGCCGCGGUAAUACGUAGGUGGCAAGCGUUAUCCGGAAUUAUUGGGCGUAAAGCGCGCGCAGGUGGUUUCUUAAGUCUGAUGUGAAAGCCCACGGCUCAACCGUGGAGGGUCAUUGGAAACUGGGAGACUUGAGUGCAGAAGAGGAAAGUGGAAUUCCAUGUGUAGCGGUGAAAUGCGUAGAGAUAUGGAGGAACACCAGUGGCGAAGGCGACUUUCUGGUCUGUAACUGACACUGAGGCGCGAAAGCGUGGGGAGCAAACAGAUUAGAUACCCUGGUAGUCCACGCCGUAACGAUGAG
This 743-nucleotide ribosomal RNA is filed under the name Bacillus thuringiensis. RNAcentral describes it as "bacterial SSU rRNA". It matches the Rfam family "Bacterial small subunit ribosomal RNA", at positions 83 to 813 of the family's 1533-position model. Lineage: Bacteria; Bacillati; Bacillota; Bacilli; Caryophanales; Bacillaceae. The record is from RNAcentral.